GUCGGCGUGGUGGCGCGCGCCUGUAGUCCCAGCUACUCGGGAGGCCGAGGUGGGAGGAGCGCUUGAGUCCAGGAGUUCUGGGCUGCAGUGUGUUAUGCCGAUCCGGUGUCCGCACUAAGUUCGGCAUCAGUAUAGUGACCUCCCCUGAGCAGGAGACCACCAGGUUGCCUAAGGAGGGGUGAACCGGCCGAGGUCGGAAACGGAGCAGGUCAAAACUCCCGUGCUGACCAGUAGUGGGAUGGCGCCUGUGAAUAGCCACUGCACUCCAGCCUGGGCAAUAUAGUGAGACCCUGUCUCUA
This is a non-coding RNA of Cavia porcellus (domestic guinea pig), 299 nucleotides long. It matches the Rfam family "Metazoan signal recognition particle RNA". From Rfam's summary of the family: The signal recognition particle (SRP) is a universally conserved ribonucleoprotein. It is involved in the co-translational targeting of proteins to membranes. The record is from Rfam. Lineage: Eukaryota; Metazoa; Chordata; Mammalia; Rodentia; Caviidae.